RNAcentral lists this ribosomal RNA (327 nucleotides) under uncultured soil bacterium. RNAcentral describes it as "bacterial SSU rRNA". It matches the Rfam family "Bacterial small subunit ribosomal RNA", at positions 26 to 337 of the family's 1533-position model. The record is from RNAcentral.
AGAACGAACGCUGGCGGCGUGGAUAAGACAUGCAAGUCGAACGGGACAACAUUUGUAGCAAUACAGAUGUUGUUUAGUGGCGAACGGGUGCGUAACACGUGGGCAAUCUGCCGAGAAGUGGGGGAUAGCUCGCCGAAAGGCGAAUUAAUACCGCAUAUGAUCAGGGACGACAUCUUCCCAACAUCAAAGCCGGGGGUAACCUGGCGCUUCUUGAGGACGCCCGCGGCCUAUCAGCUAGUUGGUGAGGUAACGGCUCACCAAGGCUAUGGACGGUAGCUGGUCUGAGAGGACGACCAGUCACACUGGAACUGAGACACGGUCCAGACA